CUGAAAUCAGGUGGGAUUACCCGCUGAACUUA
RNAcentral lists this ribosomal RNA (32 nucleotides) under Actinomucor elegans. RNAcentral's name for it is "partial 28S ribosomal RNA". The record is from RNAcentral. Lineage: Eukaryota; Fungi; Mucoromycota; Mucoromycetes; Mucorales; Mucoraceae.